UGUGGUCCUUAUCGAAGCUGCAGCUGUUUCCAUUUAGCUGCUGUGGUCAAAAAGGAGCCCAAAGUGACAUUUUUUCCUUGACAGUCACCAUUCUGUUUGUUGUAACAGUUCUGAAACAUUUCAGGAAAAGACAGUU
Erinaceus europaeus (western European hedgehog) is the source of this 136-nucleotide small nucleolar RNA. The record is from Ensembl. Lineage: Eukaryota; Metazoa; Chordata; Mammalia; Eulipotyphla; Erinaceidae.